Molecule: long non-coding RNA, 190 nt
Organism: Coregonus clupeaformis (lake whitefish)
Lineage: Eukaryota; Metazoa; Chordata; Actinopteri; Salmoniformes; Salmonidae
Exons: 2
Source: RefSeq, a predicted model, not a curated record
GAAGACUAUCAGCAUGGCGAUAUUGACCAUCAUUCUGCUUGUCAGCAUGGCUUUGGCUCUGGGAGAUGCCUUUAUUCCGAUAGGUGGUAUGCGACCCAAGACCCGCUGUGAGCAUUUAAGAGAUUCCAAGAAAAACAGCCCGCCUGGAACCUACAUCCCAACUUGUGACGACGAUGGACAAUACACCCCU